Hordeum vulgare subsp. vulgare (domesticated barley) is the source of this 80-nucleotide non-coding RNA. NCBI's taxonomy places the organism in Eukaryota, Viridiplantae, Streptophyta, Magnoliopsida, Poales, Poaceae. The record is from Rfam.
AGUUGAUGUGAUGAUAAUCUUUCACAGAAAAUCAUAUCUAGUGUUUGGCCAAACUACAAACUACAAUUAUCUAAUCGUCU